CCUACGGGAGGCAGCAGUGAGGAAUAUUGGUCAAUGGUCGGGAGACUGAACCAGCCAAGCCGCGUGAGGGAUGAAGGUACAGAGUAUCGUAAACCUCUUUUGUCAGGGAACAAAGGCGGGGACGUGUCCCCGGAUGCGUGUACCUGAAGAAAAAGCAUCGGCUAACUCCGUGCCAGCAGCCGCGGUAAUACGGAGGAUGCGAGCGUUAUCCGGAUUUAUUGGGUUUAAAGGGUGCGCAGGCGGUCUGUUAAGUCAGCGGUCAAAGCCCGGGGCUCAACCCCGGCCCGCCGUUGAAACUGGCAGUCUCGAGUUGGAGCGAAGUAUGCGGAAUGCGCGGUGUAGCGGUGAAAUGCAUAGAUAUCGCGCAGAACUCCGAUUGCGAAGGCAGCAUGCCGGCUCCACACUGACGCUGAGGCACGAAAGCGUGGGUAUCGAACAGGAUUAGAUACCCUUGUAGUC
RNAcentral lists this ribosomal RNA (459 nucleotides) under uncultured bacterium. RNAcentral describes it as "partial 16S ribosomal RNA". It matches the Rfam family "Bacterial small subunit ribosomal RNA", at positions 338 to 795 of the family's 1533-position model. The record is from RNAcentral.